This 253-nucleotide ribosomal RNA is filed under the name uncultured bacterium. RNAcentral's name for it is "partial 16S ribosomal RNA". It matches the Rfam family "Bacterial small subunit ribosomal RNA", at positions 524 to 776 of the family's 1533-position model. The record is from RNAcentral.
UACGUAGGGGGCUAGCGUUGUCCGGAAUCAUUGGGCGUAAAGCGCGUGUAGGCGGUCCGGUAAGUCCGCUGUGAAAGUCGGGGGCUCAACCCUCGGAUGCCGGUGGAUACUGUCGGGCUUGAGUACGGAAGAGGCGAGUGGAAUUCCUGGUGUAGCGGUGAAAUGCGCAGAUAUCAGGAAGAACACCGAUGGCGAAGGCAGUUCUCUGGGACGGUACUGACGCUGAGACGCGAAAGCGUGGGGAGCGAACAGG